This 175-nucleotide long non-coding RNA is filed under the name Capra hircus (goat). RNAcentral's name for it is "lncRNA (ENSCHIG00000003546.1)". The record is from RNAcentral. Lineage: Eukaryota; Metazoa; Chordata; Mammalia; Artiodactyla; Bovidae.
CGCCCACAGUAACCAGCCCACUACCGUGGAUUCCUGGCCGUGUGUGGAGACGGCUCUGCAGUGCCGGACAUCUCCCCUCCCCAGAUGCCAAGGUGGAUCCUUCACCGUCUGAACCGCCAGGGAAGCCCUUCUUUAGUGCUGCUGUAUUUCGUUGUCUAGAUCAAGCAAAGACUCA